AACGCAAAACAGGGGAGCCGAAAGGCUGAGAGGAAGCGCACGCUUCGACCCGCGAACCUGAUUUGGGUAAUGCCAACGUAGGGAGUAAGAGGGAUGCAGCG
This is a non-coding RNA of Oscillibacter valericigenes Sjm18-20, 101 nucleotides long. Lineage: Bacteria; Bacillati; Bacillota; Clostridia; Eubacteriales; Oscillospiraceae. The record is from Rfam.